Molecule: ribosomal RNA, 765 nt
Filed under: uncultured bacterium
Lineage: Bacteria
Description: bacterial SSU rRNA
Rfam family: Bacterial small subunit ribosomal RNA
Source: RNAcentral
GACGAACGCUGGCGGCGCGCCUAACACAUGCAAGUCGAACGAGCGAGAGAGAGCUUGCUUUCUCGAGCGAGUGGCGAACGGGUGAGUAACGCGUGAGGAACCUGCCUCAAAGAGGGGGACAACAGUUGGAAACGACUGCUAAUACCGCAUAAGCCCACGGGUCGGCAUCGACCAGAGGGAAAAGGAGCAAUCCGCUUUGAGAUGGCCUCGCGUCCGAUUAGCUAGUUGGUGAGGUAACGGCCCACCAAGGCGACGAUCGGUAGCCGGACUGAGAGGUUGAACGGCCACAUUGGGACUGAGACACGGCCCAGACUCCUACGGGAGGCAGCAGUGGGGAAUAUUGCACAAUGGGGGAAACCCUGAUGCAGCGACGCCGCGUGGAGGAAGAAGGUCUUCGGAUUGUAAACUCCUGUUGUUGGGGAAGAUAAUGACGGUACCCAACAAGGAAGUGACGGCUAACUACGUGCCAGCAGCCGCGGUAAAACGUAGGUCACAAGCGUUGUCCGGAAUUACUGGGUGUAAAGGGAGCGCAGGCGGGAAGACAAGUUGGAAGUGAAAUCUAUGGGCUCAACCCAUAAACUGCUUUCAAAACUGUUUUUCUUGAGUAGUGCAGAGGUAGGCGGAAUUCCCGGUGUAGCGGUGGAAUGCGUAGAUAUCGGGAGGAACACCAGUGGCGAAGGCGGCCUACUGGGCACCAACUGACGCUGAGGCUCGAAAGUGUGGGUAGCAAACAGAAUUAGAUACCCUGGUAGUCCACACCGUAAA